Molecule: non-coding RNA, 23 nt
Filed under: Arabidopsis thaliana (thale cress)
Lineage: Eukaryota; Viridiplantae; Streptophyta; Magnoliopsida; Brassicales; Brassicaceae
Source: RNAcentral
CAAGAGACAAAGAUGGUCCCUUA